RNAcentral lists this ribosomal RNA (264 nucleotides) under uncultured archaeon. RNAcentral's name for it is "partial 16S ribosomal RNA". It matches the Rfam family "Archaeal small subunit ribosomal RNA", at positions 717 to 982 of the family's 1478-position model. The record is from RNAcentral.
AGACGUCUACAUUAGAUACCCGGGUAGUCCCAGCCGUAAACUAUGCGCGUUAGGUGUAUCGGUGACCACGAGUCACCGAGGUGCCGAAGGGAAACCGUGAAACGUGCCGCCUGGGAAGUACGGUCGCAAGGCUGAAACUUAAAGGAAUUGGCGGGGAGCACCACAGCGGGUGGAGCCUGCGGUUUAAUUGGACUCAACGCCGGGAAGCUCACCGGAUAAGACAGCGGAAUGAUUGCCGGGCUGAAGACUCUGCAUGACUAGCUG